Tyto alba (common barn owl) is the source of this 46-nucleotide regulatory RNA element. It matches the Rfam family "Histone 3' UTR stem-loop". From Rfam's summary of the family: The mRNAs of metazoan histone genes lack a poly-A tail. NCBI's taxonomy places the organism in Eukaryota, Metazoa, Chordata, Aves, Strigiformes, Tytonidae. The record is from Rfam.
CCAAAGGCUCUUUUAAGAGCCACCCACAAAGUCUCUGAAAGGGCUU